CUACGGAGGGUGCAAGCGUUAUCCGGAUUUACUGGGUUUAAAGGGUGCGUAGGUGGGUCGGUAAGUCAGCGGUGAAAUCUUCGAGCUUAACUCGGAAACUGCCAUUGAUACUAUCGAUCUUGAAUCAUCUAGAGGUAAGCGGAAUAUGUCAUGUAGCGGUGAAAUGCUUAGAUAUGACAUAGAACACCAAUUGCGAAGGCAGCUUACUAUGGAUGGAUUGACACUGAGGCACGAAAGCGUGGGGAUCAAACAGGAUUAGAUACCCUGGUAGUCCACGCCCUAAACGAUGGAUACUCGACAUCAGCGAUACACUGUUGGUGUCUGAGCGAAAGCAUUAAGUAUCCCACCUGGGAAGUACGAUCGCAAGAUUGAAACUCAAAUGAAUUGACGGGG
Molecule: ribosomal RNA, 393 nt
Filed under: uncultured bacterium
Lineage: Bacteria
Description: partial 16S ribosomal RNA
Rfam family: Bacterial small subunit ribosomal RNA
Source: RNAcentral